UUUUUUUUUUUUUUUUAUGAUGUGACCUCACCAAGCGUUUUAAAGAUCAUUCAAGGUUUCGAACGUUCAUUUUUCCGACCACAUUUCUUCCUCAAAGUUGACUGCUUGCCACUCUCCUUCCAGGUUUUAAUAACGCGUUGGACAGUUCUUAACCCGACCCGAUUCCAGGGAUUCAAACAGUCUCCUUAGUUGUUUUCGUUGCUCGAUGCAUGGCAAUAAUUUGCCCCUUCUGAAACACAGUAACAUCAUCUCCACGACCAUGGGAUACGUCUUCCGACACGGCUGUUUAAAUAAUGAGAAGCUACACACUGCUUCAGUUAGGGUUCAAAGAAUUGUUGCCAGCUGAAUCACUGCAAUAAUGAUCCAGUCAUAGGCCCUUAAGUAUUUGCUUAUUUAAAUCUAAAUAAUUUUUGGACAGGCAUUGUAUACUGAUCAGAUGGCCGAGCAGUAGGUACUGAAUCGAAUGUAGUUGGUACUGAAUCGAAUGCAGUAGGUACUGAAUCGAAUGCAGUUGGUACUGAAUCUAAUGCAGUAGGUACUGAAUCGAAUGCAAUUGGUACUGAGUCGAAUGCAGUAGGUACUGGAUCGAAUGCAGUAGGUACUGAAUCGAAUGCAGUAGGUACUGAGUCGAAUGCAGUAGGUACUGAAUCGAAUGCAGUUGGUACUGGAUCGAAUGCAGUAGGUACUGAAUCGAAUGCAAUUGGUACUGAAUCGAAUGCAAUUGGUACUGAAUCUAAAGCAGUUGGUACUGAAUCAAAUGCGAUUUCAGAAGCGGCCAUGGUAUGUUCUUUCUUGAAGGGGAAAAAAAAAAAGUGG
Long non-coding RNA from Ictalurus punctatus (channel catfish), 816 nucleotides. Lineage: Eukaryota; Metazoa; Chordata; Actinopteri; Siluriformes; Ictaluridae. The record is from Ensembl.